GAGUUGGUAGUUCAGUGGUAGAGUGCAUGCUUUGUAUGUAUGAUGUCCUGGGUUCAAUACCCAGAAUUUG
This 70-nucleotide transfer RNA is filed under the name Dallia pectoralis (Alaska blackfish). RNAcentral's name for it is "tRNA-OTHER". It matches the Rfam family "tRNA". Rfam says of the family: Transfer RNA (tRNA) molecules are approximately 80 nucleotides in length. The record is from RNAcentral. Lineage: Eukaryota; Metazoa; Chordata; Actinopteri; Esociformes; Umbridae.